GUGGUGCUAGUUGGUAAAGGCAGCACUCUAGUAUGUGUCUCAGCUUAGCUGAGGUCGUGAGUUCGAAUCUCACCAGACACA
Molecule: transfer RNA, 81 nt
Filed under: Puccinia graminis f. sp. tritici CRL 75-36-700-3
Lineage: Eukaryota; Fungi; Basidiomycota; Pucciniomycetes; Pucciniales; Pucciniaceae
Description: tRNA-Und (NNN) (tRNA-Und-NNN-38-1)
Source: RNAcentral